UACGUAGGUGGCAAGCGUUAUCCGGAUUUAUUGGGCGUAAAGGGAACGCAGGCGGUCUUUUAAGUCUGAUGUGAAAGCCUUCGGCUUAACCGGAGUAGUGCAUUGGAAACUGGGAGACUUGAGUGCAGAAGAGGAGAGUGGAACUCCAUGUGUAGCGGUGAAAUGCGUAGAUAUAUGGAAGAACACCGGUGGCGAAAGCGGCUCUCUGGUCUGUAACUGACGCUGAGGUUCGAAAGCGUGGGUAGCAAACAGG
This 253-nucleotide ribosomal RNA is filed under the name uncultured bacterium. RNAcentral's name for it is "partial 16S ribosomal RNA". It matches the Rfam family "Bacterial small subunit ribosomal RNA", at positions 524 to 776 of the family's 1533-position model. The record is from RNAcentral.